AGAUACCUUUGUGGGAAGGGCUUUACAGUGAUGCUGCUCCUGCAGGGGUGGUACAGAUGAGAAGGGAAGUGCCCAGAAAUUCAAGGUAGGCUUCCAGAGUGGGUUUGAUGCCUUGUCCACACUGGCUGUGUGAGCUGGGAAGCCAGGGGAGCAGACGUUGCCAAAAAAAAAAAUCUGCUUUUCCAUUUUGUUUCCAACCGGAACUUUUUAAGCUUGGCAGCAGUUCAGAACAAAGAGUUUCUCUGGUGCCCCAGGGCCCUUGCAGAUCCGUGUCUGUUUUCUAGCUCCUUCCCAGAUGCAUUUGUGGUUGUUUAGCCAUAGCCUACCUCCGUCCACUCUGCCUGCCCCAGUCAGUCAUGCUGGUGCCCACCUGGCUUUCGCAGAGGUCGCUGUGUCAGCUCUGAAGAGACUUCAAACGCCUUAAUUGAGGAGCUUCUAAAAUCGUGGCAUUUUAUGAAGCCAAGGGUUUCAGUUUGGCUUUGGGCACAUUUCUAUCAACUUGUAAGCAUGUGCUGCAGUUCCUUUUAUUGAAUGACAGGUGAUAUUACAGCAGUCAGUCAAGCGGCUGUUUUAAGAUGCCUCAGAUGAUUUGUCUAUGCUGCAGUGAUUCAUAGCUCCAUUUUUAUUUCAUAAUAAAGAGAAAGAGAGGAGGAUUCUGCCUUCUGCUGCAGUCCUCACUGUGCUGGAUUGCCUACCUGUAUCCACAACCCCUUUUAUCCUAUUUUAAAGUUCAGCAGAAAAAUAAAUGUGCGGUAUCACAGGAACUUCUUUAUAAAAUACGGAUCUCGCACUUGAUUCUGGCAAUUGGCUCUUUGUUGCCUGCAAGUUGUCUUUAAUACCUGGCUCUGUCUGGAGGGAGUUUUUGGCACCUUAAAGCAAAUGUGGUGCAAAGCUGCCAAAAGCUUACUUUAUCCAAAUUCCUCAGUGUUUGAACUAUUUUUUUUUUUUUUUUUUUUUCCUGCAGUAUGUCUCUGCUUUGUAUUUCAUCCUGCAGCAUGGCCCGUUCUUUGGGAAAAUGUGCCGGCUCUGAUACAUCCCCAGCACCAGAGAAAUAGCAAACCGUCCUGCUGCUGUUGUGUCCCCAGUGAAGGCUCUUCCAUUUGUACUGUGGCAUCUCUUGCAGCACAGCGAUGCAUUCCUGCCUGCCUGGGCUACCUCCAUGGACGUGACCAUAUCACUACUGGACCUUUUGACCUUCUCCAGCCAAGUACUGGAAACUUUCUGUUCGAUCACAUACAUCCUCAUAGGUUCCUGAGCAGGAUAUUCACAGCAAAGAAAGGAAGUGAAGACAACAUGACACAUCUGUAGCUCACAGCCACUGCCGUCACACGAUGUGGAGUAAAGCUGCCAAGGAGAAGAGCCUCUUUCAGUCAUUUUUCAGACUUCUUUGUUCAUUAGUCACAGUUUUGACAAGCAGCUAACUCUCUUGAAGAUUGUCUCCAUCUCCAUGCUAGAAAGAAAUGACAAAUCACUUAAAGUUUAGGCAACAAGUUGAUCAGAGACUCAGCAGUGAUAAUGCUGCACUUCUUCGUGGUGGUAACAACCCCAGACACCUACCAAAAUAGCUUGUCAGCUCUGCUUCAUUUGAGUAUUCAAACCAUACAGGCAGUCAGAUAAUCUGGCAGACAAAUAAAGUGCCUUGAACAUGACUGCCUUUGACAUCAGAGACUGAACUCCCCGUGUCUUCCAAUAUGCAUUUUGUUUGCCUCACCCAGUUGCUACUCAUGCCACUUGCUGAUUUCCUAUCCCCUUCUCUGCAGUAUUGCACUGACUCAGGAUUGAUGACUUUGAAACUUGAAAAAAGCAAACUUUAUAGCCUUUCCAAGUGUUUAUAACUUGGUUUUUAAUGCAUGUACAGAGCCAAAUUUUGGCUAUGUAAGUUCUUGAGUCCCAAAGUCACUUGAGUGAGUAUCCACAUUUAGGAGUUAACAGCUUUCAAAGUGCAUUUGAUAUC
Oxyura jamaicensis (ruddy duck) is the source of this 1954-nucleotide long non-coding RNA. RefSeq lists it as uncharacterized. The record is from RefSeq and is a predicted model, not a curated record. The transcript is spliced from 3 exons. Lineage: Eukaryota; Metazoa; Chordata; Aves; Anseriformes; Anatidae.